This 497-nucleotide ribosomal RNA is filed under the name uncultured bacterium. RNAcentral describes it as "partial 16S ribosomal RNA". It matches the Rfam family "Bacterial small subunit ribosomal RNA", at positions 28 to 507 of the family's 1533-position model. The record is from RNAcentral.
GAUGAACGCUGGCGGCGUGCCUAAUACAUGCAAGUCGAGCGAACAGACGAGGAGCUUGCUCCUCAGACGUUAGCGGCGGACGGGUGAGUAACACGUUGAUAACCUACCUAUAAGACUGGGAUAACUUCGGGAAACCGGAGCUAAUACCGGAUAAUAUAUUGAACCUCAUGGUUCAAUAGUGAAAGACGGUUUUGCUGUCACUUAUAGAUAGAUCCGCGCCGCAUUAGCUAGUUGGUAAGGUAACGGCUUACCAAGGCAACGAUGCGUAGCCGACCUGAGAGGGUGAUCGGCCACACUGGAACUGAGACACGGUCCAGACUCCUACGGGAGGCAGCAGUAGGGAAUCUUCCGCAAUGGGCGAAAGCCUGACGGAGCAACGCCGCGUGAGUGAUGAAGGUCUUCGGAUCGUAAAACUCUGUUAUUAGGGAAGAACAAAUGUGUAAGUAACUAUGCACGUCUUGACGGUACCUAAUCAGAAAGCCACGGCUAACUACGUG